RNAcentral lists this transfer RNA (75 nucleotides) under Bdellovibrionales bacterium RIFOXYA1_FULL_36_14. RNAcentral's name for it is "tRNA-Thr". It matches the Rfam family "tRNA". From Rfam's summary of the family: Transfer RNA (tRNA) molecules are approximately 80 nucleotides in length. Their secondary structure includes four short double-helical elements and three loops (D, anti-codon, and T loops). Lineage: Bacteria; Pseudomonadati; Bdellovibrionota; Bdellovibrionia; Bdellovibrionales. RNAcentral also lists the same sequence under 4 other names. The record is from RNAcentral.
GCUCGCGUAGCUCAGUGGUAGAGCACUCCCUUGGUAAGGGAGAGGUCAUGAGUUCAAGUCUCAUCGUGAGCUCCA